Molecule: long non-coding RNA, 863 nt
Organism: Prionailurus viverrinus (fishing cat)
Lineage: Eukaryota; Metazoa; Chordata; Mammalia; Carnivora; Felidae
Exons: 5
Source: RefSeq, a predicted model, not a curated record
CCAUAGAAAUGAUUACAGCAGUUUAGCCAAACAGAGGUCGAUUUUUCUUCUCUACCUGGAACUCCAGAGAGGGCAGUGGCCUUGGCUCUCUGAAUCUGCCCCAGGAUGACCUGGUCCACCAUCCUCAAGGCCGGUUCAUAGAGAUCUGGCUGAAUCUGCUUGGUGUUAUAUGGAUGUACUGAAACUUCUUAAAUGAUUCUCCUACUGAAGGGCAUUUAGCUCGCUUCCAUUUGUUACCCACAAUGCUGCAGUGCACAGUUCUCCACAAUGGACUUUAAUCACCUCUGCUCCGCGAAGAGAUUUGACAGCCCAGCGCUCUGGUUGCAUAGGAACAACAGCGAGCAGGUUGCACAAAUGUCUGGCUGCUUCCUGAAUUGGGGAGCACACAAGUCUCCACACGGUCCCCAUCGUCAAGAAGGCAAAGAGGAAUAAGGCCAGUGUGUUACAGAACCUAGCCCUGCACAUCUGAUCCAGGAAAGAAGCUUCUUCUGGUGUGAAACCGGUGUGAGAUUUUCUUCAUGAUGGGCCUAAUCGUACUCUCCAUUCCAGGCAAAUGGUCCGAACCUUCUCGUAGAACACCUGCAGUCCUCCCCGUGUUACUUCACGCAGGUCUGCUUUGACACCCUGGUAGAGACCACCAGGCUCUACACACCUGCCCUCUCACCAUUCAGCAGGAAGACGUAAAAGUUGAGAGAAUGGCCUUUGGAGUCCGGCCGGAGUGCGAAUUCAGGUCCUGCCAAUUAACUACCUAUUACCACCACUCAGCUUUGCUUUCUUCAUCUGUCCGUUGGAGAGGGUGAAAUGAAUGACAGCUCUUGUUUGCAGUCGGCACAAACUAAGUGCAUCAGGUGAAUCAUCUGUCC